Molecule: ribosomal RNA, 903 nt
Filed under: Ascochyta rabiei
Lineage: Eukaryota; Fungi; Ascomycota; Dothideomycetes; Pleosporales; Didymellaceae
Description: LSU rRNA
Rfam family: Eukaryotic large subunit ribosomal RNA
Source: RNAcentral
CAUAUCAAUAAGCGGAGGAAAAGAAACCAACAGGGAUUGCCCUAGUAACGGCGAGUGAAGCGGCAACAGCUCAAAUUUGAAAUCUGGCGUCUUUGGCGUCCGAGUUGUAAUUUGCAGAGGGCGCUUUGGCAUUGGCAGCGGUCCAAGUUCCUUGGAACAGGACGUCACAGAGGGUGAGAAUCCCGUACGUGGUCGCUAGCCUUUACCGUGUAAAGCCCCUUCGACGAGUCGAGUUGUUUGGGAAUGCAGCUCUAAAUGGGAGGUAAAUUUCUUCUAAAGCUAAAUACUGGCCAGAGACCGAUAGCGCACAAGUAGAGUGAUCGAAAGAUGAAAAGCACUUUGGAAAGAGAGUUAAAAAGCACGUGAAAUUGUUGAAAGGGAAGCGCUUGCAGCCAGACUUGCCUGUAGUUGCUCAUCCGGGUUUCUACCCGGUGCACUCUUCUAUAGGCAGGCCAGCAUCAGUUUGGGCGGUUGGAUAAAGGUCUCUGUCAUGUACCUCUCUUCGGGGAGAACUUAUAGGGGAGACGACAUGCAACCAGCCUGGACUGAGGUCCGCGCAUCUGCUAGGAUGCUGGCGUAAUGGCUGUAAGCGGCCCGUCUUGAAACACGGACCAAGGAGUCUAACAUCUAUGCGAGUGUUUGGGUGUCAAGCCCGAACGCGUAAUGAAAGUGAACGGAGGUGGGAACCUUUCGGGGUGCACCAUCGACCGAUCCUGAUGUCUUCGGAUGGAUUUGAGUAAGAGCAUAGCUGUUGGGACCCGAAAGAUGGUGAACUAUGCUUGAAUAGGGUGAAGCCAGAGGAAACUCUGGUGGAGGCUCGCAGCGGUUCUGACGUGCAAAUCGAUCGUCAAAUUUGGGCAUAGGGGCGAAAGACUAAUCGAACUAUCUAGUAGCUGGUCUGCG